AUCCCAUGAUGAGGACAUUUACGAGGUAACUCCUUGAAUCACUCCCAAGCCUCAUACAAAGACUUGCCACCCAAUUGUUGGAAAGUUGUGAUCUCGUUCCUCAAAUU
Gossypium hirsutum (cotton) is the source of this 107-nucleotide non-coding RNA. The record is from Rfam. Lineage: Eukaryota; Viridiplantae; Streptophyta; Magnoliopsida; Malvales; Malvaceae.